CCUACGGGAUGCAGCAGUGGGGAAUAUUGGGCAAUGGAGGCAACUCUGACGCAGCAACGCCGCGUGAAUGAUGAAGGUCUUCGGAUUGUAAAGUUCUUUUCUCAGGGAAGAAGAAAGUGGCGGUACCUUAGAAAUAAGCCUCUGCUAAAUACGUGCCAGCCGCCGCAGGAAUAAAUAGGAGGAAAGCGUUAUCCGGACUGACUGGGCGUAAAGGGUGCGUAGGUGGUUUGACAAUGUAGUAGCGCAACUCCGGAGCUCAACUUCGGAACUACUACUAAAACUGUUGGACGUGAGUGCAGGAGGGGCAAUCGGAAUUCCGAGUGUAGCGGUGGAAUGCGUAGAUAUUAGGAGGAACACCAGUGGCGAAGGCGGACUGCUAGACUGUAACUGACACUGAGGCACGAAAGCGUGGGGAGCAAACAGGAUUAGAUACCCUGGUAGUC
This 443-nucleotide ribosomal RNA is filed under the name uncultured bacterium. RNAcentral's name for it is "partial 16S ribosomal RNA". It matches the Rfam family "Bacterial small subunit ribosomal RNA", at positions 338 to 795 of the family's 1533-position model. The record is from RNAcentral.